Long non-coding RNA from Eriocheir sinensis (Chinese mitten crab), 4519 nucleotides. RefSeq lists it as uncharacterized. The record is from RefSeq and is a predicted model, not a curated record. NCBI's taxonomy places the organism in Eukaryota, Metazoa, Arthropoda, Malacostraca, Decapoda, Varunidae. The transcript is spliced from 9 exons.
AUGUGUGUGUGUGUGUGUGUGUGUGUGUGUGUGUGACAGUUUCUUUUGCGAUGUUGAAUGGACGGUGAAGGACAGACAGACAGGAAAGGAUUCUCUCUCUCUCUCUCUCUCUCUCUCUCUCUCUCUCUCUCUCUCUCUCUCUCUCUCUCUCUCUCUCUCUCUCAGAUUUCGUACCCUCUCUUUCCUCCACUAUUAUUCUUCCUCUCCCUCCCUCUCUUUGCCUCCAUUUCUCUCCCUCCCUCUUCUUCCCUCUCCCUCCUCUUCCCCUUUCCUCUUCUUUUACCUCCUAUAAUUUUGACUGCCCAUGCUCCUCCUCUUCUCCCCCUCCCUCUCCCUCUUUUAAUACCUCCUGCUCCCUCUCCCUCCCUUCCUCACAAAUUUUCUCCCUCCCUCCUUCCCUCCCUUCCUUGCAGUAUGUCAAAUGUACCCUUCCCUCCCUUCCCUCCAUCCUUCGUUCUCUCCCUCGCCUCCUUCCUCCCUCUCUUCCCUUCCUCCCUUUUUUUCCAGUAUAUACCUCAAAUGUACCCUUCCGUCUUGUCUCCCUCCCUCCCUCCUUCCCUUCCUCCCUUCUCUCCCUAGUAAUAAUAAUAAUAAUGGAAGGUUUUGCAUUGCUAUUUUGAUGGACGUAUUUCUUUUUUUCUUCUCAUUCUUCUUUUCUUCUUAUUGUUGUUGUUGUUGUUGUUGUUGUUGUAGUAUUUAAGGGAGAGCAGAUGGAAAGGGGUGGGGGGCCAGGUGCUCUCUCUCUCUCUCUCUCUCUCUCUCUCUCUCUCUCUCUCUCUCUCUCUCUCUCUCUCUCUUCAUAUCAGUCCAUCUCACCUUCACACACACACACACACACACACACACACACACGUCGUAAUCAUAACAAUACGACGCUUACACUGUUAUUACGUACAUUGUUUCGGUCUGGUUCAUGUCAUCGGAUCCUUUCUGGAGUGCGGGGUUGUGCUAUUCAGUCCUGUGUUUUAUGUGGCAACGAUCGAAGAAAGAAUAACAUGGUAAGUACAAAAAGGUGGAGGUUUUAUUUGACACUGAAAAAGAGGAAAAGAUAGAUGUAACAAGGUAGAAGUAACAGUAAAAGGAGAAGAAGAAGAAGGAUGAGGUUUUAUUUGACACUGAAAAAGAGGAAAAGAUUGAUGCAACAAGGUAGAAGUAACAGUAAAAGGAGAAGAAGAAGGAUGAGGUUUUAUUUGACACUGAAAAAGAGGAAAAGAUUGAUGUAACAAGGUAGAAGUAACAGUAAAAGGAGAAGAAGAAGAAGGAUGAGGUUUUAUUUGACACUGAAAAAGAGGAAAAGAUAGAUGUAACAAGGUAGAAGUAACAGUAAAAGGAGAAGAAGAAGAAGGAUGAGGUUUUAUUUGACACUGAAAAAGAGGAAAAGAUUGAUGUAACAAAGUAGAAGUAACAGUAAAAGGAGAAGAAGAAGAAGGAUGAGGUUUUAUUUGACACUGAAAAAGAGGAAAAGAUAGAUGUAACAAGGUAGAAGUAACAGUAAAAGGAGAAGAAGAAGAAGGAUGAGGUUUUAUUUGACACUGAAAAAGAGGAAAAGAUUGAUGUAACAAGGUAGAAGUAACAGUAAAAGGAGAAGAAGAAGAAGGAUGAGGUUUUAUUUGACACUGAAAAAGAGGAAAAGAUUGAUGUAACAAGGUAGAAGUAACAGUAAAAGGAGAAGAAGAAGAAGGAUGAGGUUUUAUUUGACACUGAAAAAGAGGAAAAGAUUGAUGUAACAAGGUAGAAGUAACAGUAAAAGGAGAAGAAGAAGGAUGAGGUUUUAUUUGACACUGAAAAAGAGGAAAAGAUUGAUGUAACAAGGUAGAAGUAACAGUAAAAGGAGAAGAAGAAGGAUGAGGUUUUAUUUGACACUGAAAAAGAGGAAAAGAUUGAUGUAACAAGGUAGAAGUAACAGUAAAAGGAGAAGAAGAAGGAUGAGGUUUUAUUUGACACUGAAAAAGAGGAAAAGAUAGAUGUAACAAGGUAGAAGUAACAGUAAAAGGAGAAGAAGAAGAAGGAUGAGGUUUUAUUUGACACUGAAAAAGAGGAAAAGAUUGAUGUAACAAGGUAGAAGUAACAGUAAAAGGAGAAGAAGAAGAAGGAUGAGGUUUUAUUUGACACUGGAAAAGAGGAAAAAAUAGAUGUAACAAAGUAGAAGUAACAGUAAAAGGAGAAGAAGAAGAAGGAUGAGGUUUUAUUUGACACUGGAAAAGAGGAAAAGAUUGAUGUAACAAGGUAGAAGUAACAGUAAAAGGAGAAGAAGAAGAAGGAUGAGGUUUUAUUUGACACUGAAAAAGAGGAAAAGAUUGAUGUAACAAACUAGAAGUAACUGAGUAAAAGGAGAUGAAGGAGAAUGAUUUUUUUCUUGAUAACGAGGAAGGAAGAAAAGAGUAGGAGGGUAAAAGAAGAACAUAUUAGGAACAGUAAAACAAGGAGAAGGAGUAGGAGGUUUGAUAUGGUAAUGAGGAAGCAGAAAAAAGUAACGAGCUCAGGAGAAGGAUAAGAAGUAUUUUUAUAUAUGGUAAGAAAUUUGAAGAGGAACAGUAGGAGGAGGAGGAGGUAGGCUUUAUUAACAGAAGGAGAAGGAGGAGGAGGUUUGAUAAGGUAAUGAGGAAGCAGAAAAAAUAAAGAGUAGAAGAAGGAUAAGAAGUAUUUUUUUAUACGGUAAGAAAGUUGAAGCGUAACAGUAGAAGGAGGUAGUCUUUAUUUGGUGACGAAAAGGAUUAAAAAAAGAGUAAUAGACGAUGAGAAGGAUGAUGUCUUUUAUUGUGUAACGAAGAUAAAAAAAAUAUUUGCAAGGAUGAGAAGGAACUUUUAUUUGGUAACGAAGAAGAGAAAAAGUAAUGGGGAGGAGAAGGCUGAUAAGUAGGUUUUAUUUGAUAAGAAGAAAAUAAGAGUAACAGCAGGAUAAGGAUCAGGAAAGGAAAAAGUUUUAAUUUUGACAACGAAGAAGAAAAAAAGUAGCGGUAGAAAGAUAAGAACAUUUUAUUGGACAGCAAAGAUGAAAAAGAAAAAGUAAGAGUGAUGAAGAAAAAAAGAGUAGAAGAAGGUUAUUUGGCAACGAAGAAUAGAAAAGUAAGAGGAGAAGAAUUAGAAGGUUAAAUAAUUUGACAACGAAGAAAAGAAAUAAACAGAUCUGGAGAAAGUGAAAGGCGACGGGGAUGUGUUGUUUUAUUUCCUACACUCAUGGUCAUAGACAUCUAGGAGACUGGUAUCCUCUAAUGGCGGUUGUUUUUUAUAUUGCUUUGAGAAUUAUCAUUAUGCACUUAACCCUCUCAUGAUUUUACGAAUUUUAACUUUUUUUUAUAAUUUUACGAUUUUUAACUUGUUUUAUAAUGUUAGUUUUUUUAACUUUUUAUAAUUUUACGAUUUUUUUUUAAUAAUUCUACGAUUUUUAACUUAAUUUUACGAUUUUUUUUUUAUAAUUCGACGAUUUUUAACUUUUCAUAACUUGACGAUUUUUAACUUUAUAAUUUUACGAUUUUUAACUUUUCAUAAUAUUGCGAUUUUAACUAUAAUUUUACGAUUUUUAACUUCAUAAUUUUACGAUUUUUUUAUUUAUAUAAUUCUACGAUUUUUAACUUAAUACUUUUGCGAUUUUUAACUUUAUAUAAUUUUGCGAUUUUAUACGAGGUCAUUUUAUUCGGCGCUAUAUAACCAGUGCAGUUGCGGCGCCAUAAUUUUAGUCCAAUCAAUCAAUCAACAGUGAAAAAAAAAAAGCAUAGUUUUCAUGUGUUUUGGAAGAAUGAAUGACAACAACAACAACUACUACUACUACUACUACUACUACUACUACUACUACUACUACUACUACUACUACUACUACUACUACUACUACACCUAAAAACCUUUAUAUUACGUCAUCCAAACAGGUGUGUCUAGUAUUCGUUAUCAUUGUGUGUGUGUGUGUGUGUGUGUGUGUGUGUGUUGGUGAUUGUUCCACCUCCACCCUUCCCGUCGUCACUCCUCUUCCUCCUCCUCCUCCUCCUUCAGCCUUGGGUAAGAGGGAAGACAUUUGUACAUUUCCAAAUAGUUGUCAUUUCUUUGUAUUGCAGAAUAAUACUGUCCUCCUCCUCCUCCUCCUCCUCCUCCCUUUCAUCCCACAGAUUUCGCCCCAUGUAUCCUCCACUUUUUAUUGUUACCUUCUUCCUUCUUUAAUCUCCUCUUCCACCUCCUCCUCCUCCUCUUCCUUUACCUCUUUGAAUUCCUCUUUUCUCUUCAUCUUCAUUCUUUCUUCUUUUCCUAUUUUUUUUCCACUUAUUUUCAUCAUCUUCCUUUUCUUUUCAUCUUCUCACUCCUCCUCCUCUUCCUCCUCUUUUCUUUUCCUUAUCAUUCUCCUCCUAUCCUCCUAUCAACAUCACCUACCCUCCCUCCUCCUCCUCCUCCUCCUCCUCCUCACCACCACCUGCCUCUCGGGAAGUUGCGAAGGGAAGGGGGAAUGUGAGGGAGGCUUCCGGAAGACCACGCAAUGAGGAGGAGGAGGAGGAGGAGGGGGAAGAGGAGGAGGAGGAGGAAGGGCGGUCAGGAU